UAAAUUAGUUGAUUAACUUAAUUGUUUUAUAUAAAUAUUAAUGGCCUAAGUCUUGCAUAAAAGCGAUGAAAAUAUGUAAAUGAAGGAUAUCCUCGCCCGAUACCCAAAAAGGAAAGUUUUUAGUAUUUUUGUUAUUUGUACAAAUGUGAGAAUAUAAAAUACAAUAUAAAAUUUAAGGACUCCUUUGACUGCAACUGCUGACGAGUAUUCCAAAAUAACCUGUAUAAAAACUUGUAAAAAAAUGUUAAUAAUAAGUAAAAAAUAAUAAAAAUAAAUUGAACAAAUAUAUCUGCAUAUGAGUAUUUAAAAAUAUAUUUUUUUGUUUAAAAGUGGACUCAGAUAAAUUCAUGACUAUGAAAUAGUUGCUAAAUUAAUUGGUCAUCCUAAAUCGUAUUAUUACGAAGUGGUUGCUUAAUUAUUGGCCGUCCUAAAUCGUCUAGCCAAAAUAUAAAUUGUAAAAUCUUAUGUUGUUAUAAAGUUUCAUCAUUGUCCAAAAUAUUUAUUUAUUAACAUAUUUGUAUACAUAAAAUCCAUCUUUUGUUUACGAACACCUCAACAUUAAUAAGAAUUUUUUCAUUGACAAAUAUCUUGUUCUUUAUCAGUCAAAUAAAUUGUAACUAACAAAAUUUAUCCAAAAUCAAUGUCUGAUAUUUUAAUAGCAGCAGACCCAGUGACAAAAUAAUAGAAACGGAGCAAACUAACAGUAAUAGCAAAAAGUAAGGAAACAUCAGCAAAAUAAAAGAAAACCCAUGGUCAAAAGUCUGGCUAGAUCUAAACAAAUUAGACAAAACAAGAAUAAUAAGAAUAUUAUCAAGCAUUAAAUAAAUAAAAGCACCAACCAAUACCGCUGCUUCGACCAUGAUGAAACGCCGGAGCAGUUGGUGGCAAAUAUACGAGCGCAAGGAGGUAUCGCCGGAGCUACUCUCGGAGGAGAAAGAACAGCGCAAUGAAGGAGAAGGGGGAGGUUGCCGUGUGAUCGAGACGAAGGGAGGCGGCAUCUGAUAGAGGCUCGCCGGUCCGACGGCCGUCGUUGGCUGCUGCUGUUGCUGGCUUGUGGUUGGUGGUUGCCGGUGUUGUGGGUUGGUGGGUGGCUACUGAAAGAUUAGAAGGAAGGGCGUGAAGGUGGUUUUAUCUUGAUUGGCAGUGGAUGUCACCGGAGUUCAGCCGUGCUCACCGGAGGAACGAGUAAAGAGGGUGGGUGUGUUCGGAGAAAGUUCUGAUUUUGUGUGUUCUAUCAGUGUGUGUACUGUGCCUUGUUGUAUAUAAGAAAAAGGAUCUCAUAUAUAGUGUAUUGUGAUUUGUGUGUAAUGUAUCCGUUUGAAAUGAAACGUUGCAAAAGUUGACAAUGCCCAAGAUUUUCUUUGAUUCAUUUUUGACUUGUGUAGCAUAAAUCAAAUUAAACAUUACUUUCUUUGUCUUGAGAUGACAUAAAGAAAAGCAAAAUUUGCCUUUUGUCUCAACAAUGUUUGAAAGAAAACACAUUCUAAAACAAACAACGAAUCUUU
Molecule: long non-coding RNA, 1505 nt
Filed under: Capsicum annuum
Lineage: Eukaryota; Viridiplantae; Streptophyta; Magnoliopsida; Solanales; Solanaceae
Description: long non-coding RNA (CANN_LNC008968)
Source: RNAcentral